AGGGUUCGAUCCUGGCUCAGAACGAACGCUGGCGGCAUGCCUAACACAUGCAAGUCGAACGCUAUUUAUAGAGUGGCGCACGGGUGAGUAACGCGUGGGAACCUGCCUUUUUCUGCGGGAUAACGGUUGGAAACGACCGCUAAUACCGCAUACGCCCUACGGGGGAAAGGUCCGCCGGAGAAAGAGGGGCCCGCGUCUGAUUAGUUUGUUGGUGGGGUAACGGCCUACCAAGGCGACGAUCAGUAGCUGGUCUGAGAGGAUGAUCAGCCACACUGGGACUGAGACACGGCCCAGACUCCUACGGGAGGCAGCAGUGGGGAAUAUUGGACAAUGGGGGCAACCCUGAUCCAGCAAUGCCGCGUGUGUGAUGAAGGCCUUAGGGUUGUAAAGCACUUUCACUGGUGAAGAUGAUGACGGUAACCAGAGAAGAAGCCCCGGCUAACUUCGUGCCAGCCGCCGCGGUAAUAC
Molecule: ribosomal RNA, 468 nt
Filed under: uncultured bacterium
Lineage: Bacteria
Description: bacterial SSU rRNA
Rfam family: Bacterial small subunit ribosomal RNA
Source: RNAcentral